UUUAUCCACACGGCUAUCAGU
RNAcentral lists this non-coding RNA (21 nucleotides) under Caenorhabditis elegans. Lineage: Eukaryota; Metazoa; Nematoda; Chromadorea; Rhabditida; Rhabditidae. The record is from RNAcentral.